UCCAGAGGGUGCAAGCGUUACUCGGAAUUACUGGGCGUAAAGCGCGCGUAGGUGGUUCGUUAAGUUGGAUGUGAAAUCCCCGGGCUCAACCUGGGAACUGCAUUCAAAACUGUCGAGCUAGAGUAUGGUAGAGGGUGGUGGAAUUUCCUGUGUAGCGGUGAAAUGCGUAGAUAUAGGAAGGAACACCAGUGGCGAAAGCGGCUUCCUGGUCCGACACCGACGUUCAGGCACGAAAGCGUGGGGAGCAAACAGG
Molecule: ribosomal RNA, 253 nt
Filed under: uncultured bacterium
Lineage: Bacteria
Description: partial 16S ribosomal RNA
Rfam family: Bacterial small subunit ribosomal RNA
Source: RNAcentral